Molecule: ribosomal RNA, 420 nt
Filed under: uncultured Megasphaera sp.
Lineage: Bacteria; Bacillati; Bacillota; Negativicutes; Veillonellales; Veillonellaceae
Description: bacterial SSU rRNA
Rfam family: Bacterial small subunit ribosomal RNA
Source: RNAcentral
CCCUUCGGAUGGGGAUACAGCCGAAACGGCUGCUAAUACCGAAUACGAUCUUUCGUCGCAUGACGGAAAAGAAGAAAAGGAUGGCCUCUAUACAAAGCUAUCGCCGAAGGAGGGGUUUUGCGUCUGAUUAGCUGGUUGAGGGGUAACGGCCCAACAAGGCGAUGAUCAGUAGCCGGUCUGAGAGGAUGAACGGCCACAUUGGGACUGAGACACGGCCCAGACUCCUACGGGAGGCAGCAGUGGGGAAUCUUCCGCAAUGGACGAAAGUCUGACGGAGCAACGCCGCGUGAGUGAAGAAGGUCUUCGGAUUGUAAAGCUCUGUUAUACGGGACGAAAAAGACGGAUGCCAACAGUAUCCGUCCGUGACGGUACCGUAAGAGAAAGCCACGGGCUAACUACGUGCCAGCAGCCGCGGUAAAU